GAAAGACUAAGAUAUAUUUUCUUAAUUGUGUGGGGAAAUCUAAGGCACACGUAAAUUUUGGCCUAGGAAAUAUCUUACUAAACUUUUAAUCAGUUGAGUUAUGGUAAAAGUCUCUCAAGCAUGAGAAGGUAACAAUGAAUUAUAUAGGGUGAAUUAAAAUAAUUAUUUUCUAUUAUUUCUACUAUCUCUCUCUAACAAUUUUGUUAAAACUUAUUUUUAUAUUAAACCAACGAUUAAAAAUGUUAAAAAUAAUUUCAACACAAUUCAAACCAUUUUUGUUCACACCUUUAAUAUGUAUCAUCAUUUAUUCUCUCCAUCUUGGAGUGUGUUGAAAUUUUAAUAUUUAAUAUAAUAUGAAUAAUUAGGAUCCUUGGAAAUUAUGAAGGUAUUGCAAUCUAAUUUUAAUUAUACCUCUUAAAAAUUGCUUGUUUCAAACGUUUCUUUUAUAAUAAAGAUGUUUAUAUUCUCGUGUAAGAAAAAACUCAAGUUCAACCUUUGGUGCAUGUGUAGUAAAAUUAUGUAAUUCUGAAAUAGAACAAACAAUUUCUAGUGUGUGUGAAAAUAUGGAAAUUAAGAAUUUAAUUAUUACAAGGAAUAAGAGAGAAACUGAAAUAAUAUAUUAUUGAAAUAUUAAAUUCUAACAACCAUCAACAGACAUUUGAAGAAAUGUAAUUUUUCACAGUAUAAAAUAUAUAUAUAAAUGAAUACUUCAGAAUGCAAAACGAGAGAACAUAUGGCACAAAUUCUUAAGUUUGUUAGUCUCAUAAUUAUUUUUCUUUUCAAAUUCGUCAUUGUAACACACGGUAUCGUUGUAACUGAUGGAGCUAUUAAAUGCUGGUCUAAUAGAGAAUGUCGUAAAGCAAUGCCUGAUUGCAUUCGUCCUAAACUUCCAAUGUGUGUAUCAGGGAUAUGUGAUUGCCUGUAAUAGUAGGAAUAAAGUAUGAGAAAUAAUUUCAUGUAUUUGUAACUCUAAUAUUGAUACUUUUGUUAGUAUUGUGUUCUUCCGAUUUUGAGCAGAAUGAAAUUUAUUUUAAACCAUAAA
Long non-coding RNA from Vicia villosa (hairy vetch), 1042 nucleotides. RefSeq lists it as uncharacterized. Lineage: Eukaryota; Viridiplantae; Streptophyta; Magnoliopsida; Fabales; Fabaceae. The record is from RefSeq and is a predicted model, not a curated record. The transcript has 2 exons.